UACGUAGGGUGCAAGCGUUGUCCGGAAUUAUUGGGCGUAAAGGGUAGGUAGGUGGUCUCAAUUGUCUGGGGUGAAAGCCUUGAGCUUAACUCAAGAAGUGCCCUAGAAACGGUGAGACUGGAGUCCUGGAGAGGGUCGUGGAAUUCCCGGUGUAGCGGUGAAAUGCGUAGAGAUCGGGAGGAACACCAGAGGCGAAGGCGGCGACCUGGACAGGUACUGACACUCAACUACGAAAGCGUGGGGAGCAAACAGG
This 253-nucleotide ribosomal RNA is filed under the name uncultured bacterium. Its description in RNAcentral is "partial 16S ribosomal RNA". It matches the Rfam family "Bacterial small subunit ribosomal RNA", at positions 524 to 776 of the family's 1533-position model. The record is from RNAcentral.